This 446-nucleotide ribosomal RNA is filed under the name Neogryporhynchus cheilancristrotus. RNAcentral describes it as "bacterial SSU rRNA". It matches the Rfam family "Eukaryotic small subunit ribosomal RNA", at positions 60 to 468 of the family's 1831-position model. The record is from RNAcentral. Lineage: Eukaryota; Metazoa; Platyhelminthes; Cestoda; Cyclophyllidea; Dilepididae.
UCAGUGCAGGCCUUAAUACGGUGAAACCGCGAAUGGCUCAUUAAAUCAGCUAUGGUUUAUUGGAUCGUACCCGUUAAAUGGAUAACUGUAAUAACUCUAGAGCUAAUACAUGCCACGAUGCCCUGACCCCGUAGGGGAAUGGGUGCACUUAUUAGAUCAGAAGCCAACCAGUUUGCACGGCAGUUGCCUCGGUGGCUGUCGUGUGGGCUGUAGAACUUCUGGUGACUCUGGAUAAUUGUUACAGAUCGCAGUCGGCCUUGAGUCGGCGACGGGUCCUUCAAAUGUCUGCCCUAUCAACUUUCGAUGGUAGGUGACCUGCCUACCAUGGUGAUAACGGGUAACGGGGAAUCAGGGUUCGAUUCCGGAGAGGGAGCCUGAGAAACGGCUACCACUUCCAAGGGAGGCAGCAGGCGCGCAAAUUACCCACUCCCAGCACGGGAGGUGGU